This 274-nucleotide ribosomal RNA is filed under the name uncultured bacterium. Its description in RNAcentral is "partial 16S ribosomal RNA". It matches the Rfam family "Bacterial small subunit ribosomal RNA", at positions 523 to 796 of the family's 1533-position model. The record is from RNAcentral.
AUACGGAGGGGGCUAGCGUUGUUCGGAAUUACUGGGCGUAAAGCGCGCGUAGGCGGCAUGUCAAGUUGGGUGUGAAAGCCCGGGGCUCAACCCCGGAAUUGCAUUCAAAACUGGCAAGCUAGAGACCGAGAGAGGUGAGUGGAAUUUCCAGUGUAGAGGUGAAAUUCGUAGAUAUUGGAAAGAACACCAGUGGCGAAGGCGGCUCACUGGCUCGGUACUGACGCUGAGGUGCGAAAGCGUGGGUAGCAAACAGGAUUAGAUACCCCAGUAGUCC